Molecule: ribosomal RNA, 1487 nt
Filed under: soil metagenome
Description: bacterial LSU rRNA
Rfam family: Bacterial large subunit ribosomal RNA
Source: RNAcentral
GCAGUGAGACUGCGGGGGAUAAGCUCCGUAGUCGAGAGGGAAACAGCCCAGACCAUCAGCUAAGGCCCCUAAGCGGUGACUAAGUGGAAAAGGAUGUGGAGUCGCAGUGACAACCAGGAGGUUGGCUUGGAAGCAGCCACCCUUGAAAGAGUGCGUAAUAGCUCACUGGUCAAGUGAUUCUGCGCCGACAAUUUAGCGGGGCUCAAGCAAUCCGCCGAAGCUGUGUCAUUCACACAUGUACUUGGUUUCGAUCCAGGUGUGUGGAUGGGUAGGGGAGCGUCGUGUGCGCGGUGAAGCGGCAGGGUGACCUAGCCGUGGAGAGCACACGAGUGAGAAUGCAGGCAUGAGUAGCGAAUGAGGAGUGAGAAACUCCUCCACCGAAAGACCAAGGGUUCCAGGGUCAAGCUAAUCUGCCCUGGGUAAGUCGGGACCUAAGGCGAGGCCGACAGGCGUAGUCGAUGGACAACGGGUUGAUAUUCCCGUACCGGCGCUAACACGUCCCUGCCGAGCCGAGUGAUGCUAAGCACGCGAGUUCGCGUGACGUCUUCGGACUGAUCGCGGGCGAGUCUGCGACCCGAACUCGUAUUAGGCAAGCUGCGGAGUGACGCAGGAAGGUAGCCCAUCCCGGGCGAUGGUAGUCCCGGGCCAAGUGCGUAGGGCGAGGUGUAGGCAAAUCCGCACCUCACGUGCCUGAGACACGAUAGCUGGUACGCCUACGGGCGUACGAGUGGGUGAUCCUAUGCUGCCUAGAAAACCUUCGUGAGCGAGUGCUAGAGCCGCCCGUACCCUAAACCGACUCAGGUGGUCAGGUAGAGAAUACCAAGGUGAUCGAGAUAACCAUGGUUAAGGAACUCGGCAAAAUGCCCCCGUAACUUCGGGAUAAGGGGGGCCUGAUGCGUGUAGCCGCUUGCCGGCGAAGCGCAAAGGGCCGCAGAGACCAGGCCCAAGCGACUGUUUACUAAAAACACAGGUCCGUGCGAAGUCGUAAGACGAUGUAUACGGACUGACGCCUGCCCGGUGCUGGAACGUUAAGGGGACCGGUUAGUCCGACUUCGGUCGGGCGAAGCUGAGAACUUAAGCGCCAGUAAACGGCGGUGGUAACUAUAACCAUCCUAAGGUAGCGAAAUUCCUUGUCGGGUAAGUUCCGACCUGCACGAAUGGCGUAACGACUUGGGCGCUGUCUCGACCACGGACUCGGCGAAAUUGCACUACGAGUAAAGAUGCUCGUUACGCGCAGCAGGACGGAAAGACCCCGGGACCUUCACUAUAGUUUGGUAUUGGUGUUCGGUACAGCUUGUGUAGGAUAGGUGGGAGACUAUGAAGCAGUCACGCCAGUGACUGUGGAGUCAACGUUGAAAUACCACUCUGGUUGUUCUGGUUAUCUAACCUAGAUCCGUUAUCCGGAUCAGGGACAGUGCCUGAUGGGUAGUUUGACUGGGGCGGUCGCCUCCUAAAAGGUAACGGAGGCGCCCAAAGGUUCCCUCAGC